AUCGCUUCUCGGCCUUUUGGCUAAGAUCAAGUGUAUAAUUAGAUUUAUGUUAAUUUCUGUAUUUUUAUUAAAUGAUAGCUUUCUUUAGGCCUAGAAUUUCUUGGCUCAGAACUAUAAGACUAACUAGUAAAGGGAACUGCAG
RNAcentral lists this small nuclear RNA (142 nucleotides) under Rhinolophus ferrumequinum (greater horseshoe bat). RNAcentral describes it as "U2 spliceosomal RNA (ENSRFEG00010001163.1)". It matches the Rfam family "U2 spliceosomal RNA". From Rfam's summary of the family: U2 is a small nuclear RNA (snRNA) component of the spliceosome (involved in pre-mRNA splicing). The record is from Rfam by way of RNAcentral. Lineage: Eukaryota; Metazoa; Chordata; Mammalia; Chiroptera; Rhinolophidae.